AGUGGGAAAAGAGCUUCCCGGUCAACGAGUCCAGGCGGUGACCGGCAUCGCCAUGGCGGCACUGUUUUUUUUCUUUCUUCCUUGGGCCACUUGCUGGUCCAAACACGGAGGAGAGAGGUUUCUCUGCAGUCGGAUUUGCCCUGCACCCUGCACUGCCUCCUGCUUCCGAGACCACUGCUGAGAACCAGGACCUAAACGGUGAGCAGGAAGUCUACCUUCACUCGUCAUCCACCUGGGACACUGCCCUGCCGCCUCCGUCUCCACCUCCCUGCGAUGGUCUGCUGCCACCACAGCUGCAAGGGCCCUGCCCUGGUCCCCACCAGGACCGUGUGGAAGAGAAGAGUGUCUGCGACUGGAAAAGGGACUGGGACUGAGUUUUUCUGUUUUGUUGCUGAUUUUCAUAGCUGAUGUUCUCGUUUGUCUUGAAGAUAUAUCAGUCAAGAACUGUUAUUCCUAAACCCA
This is a long non-coding RNA of Catharus ustulatus (Swainson's thrush), 462 nucleotides long. RefSeq lists it as uncharacterized. The transcript is spliced from 2 exons. NCBI's taxonomy places the organism in Eukaryota, Metazoa, Chordata, Aves, Passeriformes, Turdidae. The record is from RefSeq and is a predicted model, not a curated record.